Molecule: ribosomal RNA, 610 nt
Filed under: uncultured bacterium
Lineage: Bacteria
Description: bacterial SSU rRNA
Rfam family: Bacterial small subunit ribosomal RNA
Source: RNAcentral
CAGUAGUGGGGGACAACUCGGGGAAACUCGAGCUAAUACCGCAUACGCCCUACGGGGGAAAGCGGAGGAUCUUUCGGGACUUCGCGCUAUUGGAUGAGCCUAAGUCGGAUUAGCUUGUUGGUGAGGUAAAAGCUCAUCAAGGCGACGAUCCGUAGCUGGUCUGAGAGGACGAUCAGCCACACUGGGACUGAGACACGGCCCAGACUCCUACGGGAGGCAGCAGUGGGGAAUAUUGGACAAUGGGGGCAACCCUGAUCCAGCAAUGCCGCGUGUGUGAAGAAGGCCUGCGGGUUGUAAAGCACUUUCAGUAGAGAAGAAAAGUUCAGGGUUAAUACCCCUGAAUCUUGACGUUACCUACAGAAGAAGCUCCGGCUAACUCCGUGCCAGCAGCCGCGGUAAUACGGAGGGAGCGAGCGUUAAUCGGAAUUACUGGGCGUAAAGCGCGCGUAGGCGGCUUCGUAAGUCGGAUGUGAAAGCCCCGGGCUCAACCUGGGAAUGGCAUUCGAUACUGCAGAGCUAGAGUAUGGUAGAGGGAAGUGGAAUUUCCGGUGUAGCGGUGAAAUGCGUAGAUAUCGGAAGGAACACCAGUGGCGAAGGCGACUUCCUGGGC